RNAcentral lists this ribosomal RNA (253 nucleotides) under uncultured bacterium. Its description in RNAcentral is "partial 16S ribosomal RNA". It matches the Rfam family "Bacterial small subunit ribosomal RNA", at positions 524 to 776 of the family's 1533-position model. The record is from RNAcentral.
UACGUAGGGGGCUAGCGUUGUCCGGAAUCAUUGGGCGUAAAGAGCGUGUAGGCGGUUCGGUAAGUCCGCUGUGAAAGUCCAGGGCUCAACCCUGGAAUGCCGGUGGAUACUGUCGGGCUAGAGUCCGGAAGAGGCGAGUGGAAUUCCUGGUGUAGCGGUGAAAUGCGCAGAUAUCAGGAGGAACACCAAUGGCGAAGGCAGCUCGCUGGGACGUGACUGACGCUGAGACGCGAAAGCGUGGGGAGCAAACAGG